UACGGAGGGUGCAAGCGUUAUCCGGAUUCACUGGGUUUAAAGGGUGCGUAGGCGGUCUUAUAAGUCAGUGGUGAAAUCCUAUCGCUUAACGAUAGACGUGCCAUUGAUACUGUAGGACUUGAGUACAGAUGCCGUUGGCGGAAUGUGUCAUGUAGCGGUGAAAUGCAUAGAUAUGACACAGAACACCGAUUGCGAAGGCAGCUGACGAAACUGUAACUGACGCUGAGGCUCGAAAGCGUGGGGAUCAAACAGG
Molecule: ribosomal RNA, 253 nt
Filed under: uncultured bacterium
Lineage: Bacteria
Description: partial 16S ribosomal RNA
Rfam family: Bacterial small subunit ribosomal RNA
Source: RNAcentral